This is a long non-coding RNA of Gymnodraco acuticeps, 603 nucleotides long. RefSeq lists it as uncharacterized. NCBI's taxonomy places the organism in Eukaryota, Metazoa, Chordata, Actinopteri, Perciformes, Bathydraconidae. The record is from RefSeq and is a predicted model, not a curated record. The transcript is spliced from 3 exons.
UGUUUAAUCUGCAGCAUUGCAUCAUACUCCUGAGAUCAUCAUAUCUAGUGUUUACCUACACAUAGCUUUGGAAAAAUAUCUUGUUUUUCCCAGUCACUUCAGUUGAUCAGAAGCAUUCUAAAUCUUCUGGAGAUACAUGAUUCUUUACUGGAGAGGGAUAACAUUUGUUAUCUGACUAAAGCUUUCACAUAACUGUAGUGCAGUAGAAAAGUACAAUUUAAGAUGUGUUGGAGUAGAAGUGAUAUAAAACUGAAUUAAGUAAAACAAUCUCAAAUGUGUCAAACAUGAAAUACCUAAUCCCAGUUUUUGUCUUUAGCACUGCAUGCCUAUGAGCCGUUGUACAAAAAGGUGACACAUUCCCCCAAAGUCCAGGGCUUAGCGAAGAAGCUGGGCCUCAUCAGUCCUGUGAUACUGCAGAGCAUGUUCAUCUUUAAGCAACCAGGGAUUGGUGGAGAAGGUAAGCUGAUUGAGUUUUCUAAAUGUUAAAAUAGUUUUUCUUUACCACUGUUUCCCAUAGAUAUUUAAAGAUAUUGUAAUAUUGUAUCUCUUGCAGAAUCUGCUGUAAUAUCAAUACAUUGUGUGUUAACAAUUUAAACUGAGAUG